GAUCAUUAUUGAAAAAGCUUUCGAGUUUUUUUUUUUAUAUCCCUUUGUUUAUCUACCACGUUGCUUUCACUGGCCAUGUCCUCUAAUUCUAAAUCAGAGACAACUCAGCCAAGGGUUUAUUUCAAAACACUUUUUUGGGGAAGCUGCCAGUGAAGAAAACUAGCACCUAAACUUGAGCUAAAAUCAAUUGUCUGAAUCAAAACCUUUUGAAUGAAAUAAAACUUUCAACAAUGGAUCUCUAGGCUCUUGCAUCGAUGAARAACGCAGKGAAAUGCGAUAAGUAAUGKGAAUUGCARAAUCUCGGGAAUCAUCGAAUCUUUGAACGCACAUUGCGCCCUAUGGUAUUCCGUAGGGCAUGCCUGUCUGAGCGUCAGCUCCCCCCCAACUCAAGCUUCUUUUUGAAAUARAAGCCUGGUUUAUCUUGGAGAAGUCUCUCUACCUACAGAGUCACUCUUCAGCAAUUAAUAGGCAGUAUGGUUUGUACCUGUUAUCAGACGUAAUAAGAAUAUAAAUUCGUUUGAAGGAGACCAGCCUGUACUUGCCCUAACUCAUCCAUUCUUCUUUUGGGUGACCUCAGAUCAGGUAGG
RNAcentral lists this ribosomal RNA (587 nucleotides) under uncultured Pezizales. RNAcentral's name for it is "eukaryotic LSU rRNA". The stretch from base 220 to 373 matches the Rfam family "5.8S ribosomal RNA". Lineage: Eukaryota; Fungi; Ascomycota; Pezizomycetes; Pezizales. The record is from RNAcentral.